RNAcentral lists this ribosomal RNA (253 nucleotides) under uncultured bacterium. Its description in RNAcentral is "partial 16S ribosomal RNA". It matches the Rfam family "Bacterial small subunit ribosomal RNA", at positions 524 to 776 of the family's 1533-position model. The record is from RNAcentral.
GACGUAGGGCGCGAGCGUUGUCCGGAUUUAUUGGGCGUAAAGAGCUCGUAGGCGGCUUGUCGCGUCGUCCGUGAAAACUUGGGGCUCAACCCCAAGCUUGCGGUCGAUACGGGCAGGCUAGAGUUCGGUAGGGGAGACUGGAAUUCCUGGUGUAGCGGUGAAAUGCGCAGAUAUCAGGAGGAACACCCGUGGCGAAGGCGGCUCUCUGGGACGGUACUGACGCUGAGACGCGAAAGCGUGGGGAGCGAACAGG